Molecule: ribosomal RNA, 526 nt
Filed under: uncultured bacterium
Lineage: Bacteria
Description: bacterial SSU rRNA
Rfam family: Bacterial small subunit ribosomal RNA
Source: RNAcentral
CCUGGCUCAGGAUGAAUGCUGGCGGCGUGCCUAAUACAUGCAAGUCGAGCGGUAACAGGGCUUCACCGUUCCUUGACACACCUAGCGCUAUAUCGUAGGUUGGUUAGAUCGAGGGAACAGUGAAGCUGCUGACGAGCGGCGGACGGCUGAGUAACGCGUGGGAACGGACCCCAAACUGAGGGAUAACUAGUCGAAAGAUUAGCUAAUACCGCAUGUGAUCUUCGGAUUAAAGGAUUUAUCCGGUUUGGGACUGGCCUGCGUACGAUUAGAUAGUUGGUAGGGUAACGGCCUACCAAGUCGACGAUCGUUAGAUGGUUUGAGAAGAUAAUCAUCCAGACUGGGACUGAGACACGGCCCAGACUCCUACGGGAGGCAGCAGUAGGGAAUCUUUCACAAUGGGCGAAAGCCUGAAUGGAGCAACGCCGCGUGCAGGAUGACGGCCUUCGGGUUGUAAACUGCUUUUAUAAGCGAGAAAUAUGAUGGUAACUUAUGAAUAAGGACCGGCUAACUACGUGCCAGCCGCUGC